Acanthochromis polyacanthus (spiny chromis) is the source of this 6947-nucleotide RNA transcript. It is a transcript of the gene named interacts with SUPT6H, CTD assembly factor 1, with no coding region annotated. Lineage: Eukaryota; Metazoa; Chordata; Actinopteri; Pomacentridae. The transcript has 14 exons. The record is from RefSeq and is a predicted model, not a curated record.
GCGUAUAUCGCGGAAGCUACACCAUUUUGGGUUUCGGGGGUUAACGGCAGCUAGCUGUCGGUGUUAGCUUCCACGGCGCUUCGUUGCUUAUUACGUUUCAUUUUUCCUGCUUUCAUAUCAAAGUUGAGUAAACAGAGAGUCGAACCCGCACCUUUCUUCGUUUGAGAAAUGGACGGAGAAGACGACGAGUUUAUGUCCGGGAGCCGCUCCGAUGAUGGAGGCGGAACUCCGGUUCAGGACGAACAUCCUGCGUCUGACGGUGAAGAGAUGAGGAGCGACGGCCGUCAGUCUGAGGAUGAAGGCAGUAAUGAUGAGGACGCCGCCCACCGGAUGGAGACCAGCGGAGCGGCCAGCGGCUCCGACAAUGAGGACCGUCGGGGUCCAAACAGCGACUCCGAGGACGAGGCUCCCAGGGGUCGCCGUGACGACAGGAGCGACUCGGAGGCAGAGGCCCCGCGGCCGGCCGACAGCGACGACGACUCUCCGGUCAAACGCAGGAUGAGCGCGUCUGACAACGAGGAGGAAGAUUCUCCGGUCAAACGCAGGAUGAGUGCGUCCGACAACGAGGAGGACGAGGAGGAAGAUUCUCCCAAGAAACGCAGGACGAGUGGCUCGGACAACGAGGAGUCGUCACCGAUCAAACACGGAGCGUCCGACAACGAGGAGGUGCCGUCUCCCGCCAAACGCAGAGGGAGCAGCUCCGACAUGGAGGACGGCGAGGACGGGCACAAGGCGGCCGCAGACAGCGACUCGGACAACGAAGACGCCAAACCCGCGGCGUCUCCAGAGCGCCGGUCCAACGCCGACAGUGACUCUGACACAGAGACGCCGGCCAGACGCAAGGCAGCGGCGAUAGACUCUGACGAUGACGACAAACAGGAAGGACGAGAAGGGAAGUGGAAGGCUGUGAUGCAGUCUGACAGCGAGGAAGAGGAGGAGGGAGGACGGAGAAAGGCCUCAGCAGGAAGUGAUGGAGAGCAGCGACAGGAAGACGAGGAGCGACGGCAACGAGACGACAGCGAGGACGAGGACGAGAAACCAGUGAAGAGGAAGAAGGCGAUCCUGUCGGACAGCGAAGACGAAGACGAGGAGAAAGAAGACAAACCAGCGGUUAAAAGGAGUCGGGCGGUUUCAGACGACGAGAACUCGGACAGCGACGACGGUUUGGUGGGUCCAGAUAAAAGUCUGGCGGCCAAACUGAAGGAGCUCGGCUCGGACAGCGAGAGCGAAGACGACGAGAGGUUGAAGGCGGCGGAAGGAAACAAGGACGAGAAGGCGCUGUUUGGCAGCGACAGCGAAUCAGGAGACGAGGAGGAGAAAAUGAUUGCCGACAUCUUUGGAGAGUCCGGAGACGAGGAGGAGGAAGAGUUCACGGGGUUCAACCAGGAGGAUCUGGAAGGAGACAAGAAGCAGGCGAAGGAGAAGCAGCAGCAGAUGGAGGAAGACUCCGACUCUGAUGAAGGCAUCGAUCGCAGCGGCCAAGACACCAGCUUCAUGUCUGACUUUGACAUCAUGCUCGCCAAGAGGAAAGCCAUGAACAGCAGGAAGAGGCGGCACAAUGACGGAGGGACGUUCAUCAGCGACGCCGACGACGUGGUCAGCGCCAUGAUCGCCAAGAUGACCGAGGCAGCGCAGGAGGAUCGAACUCUGAACAGCCAGAAGAAACCGGCGCUGAAGAAACUCACUCUGCUGCCGCAAGUCGUCAUGCACCUGAAAAAGCAGGACCUGAAAGAAACCUUUAUCGACAGCGGAGUGAUGUCGGCCAUCAAAGAGUGGAUCAGUCCUCUUCCAGACAAAUCUCUGCCGGCUUUAAGGAUCAGGGAGGAAAUGCUCAGGAUCCUGCAGGAGCUGCCCAGCGUCAGUCAGGAAACCCUGAAGCACAGCGGCAUCGGACGGGCCGUCAUGUUUCUGUACAAACAUCCCAAAGAGUCUCGAUCCAACAAAGACCUCGCUCUCAAACUCAUCAAUGAAUGGUCGCGGCCGAUCUUCGGUUUGACGUCCAACUACAAAGGAAUGACGAGAGAAGAGCGACAGCAGAGAGAUCUGGACCAGCAGAUGCCUCAGAGACGACGACUCAGGUCAGAAAAUCAGACUAAAUCCGACACUUGAACCGAGGUUACAGUAAUAUUAAAUCCAGGUUUAGACAACAGAAUGUGAAUAAGGGAUUCAUUUUAAGGCGUCUUCUCCCUCCUCAACAUAAUCAGUCGCUCUUUUUAUUGUCCCCUGGAUUCUGUUUUCAUCUUCUCUCCUUGUCAUCAGAUGUUCUGUUCUGUCCUUCAGCCUCUUCUGUCCUCUUGUUCCUUGUUUGUCCCAAAACACACACUGCUGGUAUUAGUAUUAUUUAAAGGUUAAUUCAAGUUUAACUCACAUUAGAGCUGCAGCAGACAGAAAACUAAUCAUAAAAAGUGACUAAAUUUCCCCACUUCCAGCUUCUCAAGGGGAGUAAAAUAGGAUUUGUUUAUUGUCACUGCGGCAACAAAAUUAACAGUGAUAUAGCAUAUUGUUGUAAGAAAAGCUUAUUUAGCUUAUUAAAAACUGAUGUUGCACAUAUAAAUAUUGCACAUUCAUAAAUAUUUCUGAAAAUGUAACGACUGAAAGUAGUGAUUUUAAACUGCUUGCUAUUGUUUUAUACAGUUAAAAGCUGCAUAUCUUCAGAUUUUAGCCUGUUAGUCAAACAAAAAACACAUUUAAAGGCAUAUUUCAUAGAAAGAAGCUAAGUACGCUGCUAAAGUCAUAGAAAGAAGCUAAUUAUGCAGCUAAAGUCACAGAAAGAAGCUAAUUACGCAGCUAAAGUCGUAGAAAGAAGCUAAUUAUGCAGCUAAAGUCACAGAAAGAAGCUAAUUACGCAGCUAAAGUCACAGAAAGAAGCUAAUUACGCAGCUAAAGUCACAGAAAGAAGCUAAUUACGCAGCUAAAGUCACAGAAAGAAGCUAUCUACACAGCUAAAGUCACAGAAAGAAGCUAAUUACGCAGCUAAAGUCACAGAAAGAAGCUAUCUACACAGCUAAAGUCACAGAAAGAAGCUAAUUACGCAGCUAAAGUCACAGAAAGAAGCUAAUUACGCAGCUAAGGUCACAGAAAGAAGCUAAUUACGCAGCUAAAGUCACAGAAAGAAGCUAAUUACGCAGCUAAGGUCACAGAAAGAAGCUAAUUACGCAGCUAAAGUCGUAGAAAGAAGCUAAUUAUGCAGCUAAAGUCACAGAAAGAAGCUAAUUACGCAGCUAAAGUCACAGAAAGAAGCUAAUUACGCAGCUAAAGUCACAGAAAGAAGCUAUCUACACAGCUAAAGUCACAGAAAGAAGCUAAUUACGCAGCUAAAGUCACAGAAAGAAGCUAUCUACACAGCUAAAGUCACAGAAAGAAGCUAAUUACGCAGCUAAAGUCACAGAAAGAAGCUAAUUACGCAGCUAAGGUCACAGAAAGAAGCUAAUUACGCAGCUAAAGUCAUAGAAAGAAGCUAAUUACGCAGCUAAAGUCACAGAAAGAAGCUAAUUACGCAGCUAAAGUCACAGAAAGAAGCUAAUUACACAGCUAAAGUCACAGAAAGAAGCUAAUUACGCAGCUAAAGUCACAGAAAGAAGCUAAUUACGCAGCUAAAGUCACAGAAAGAAGCUAAUUACGCAGCUAAGGUCACAGAAAGAAGCUAAUUACGCAGCUAAGGUUACAGAAAGAAGCUAAUUACGCUGCUAAAGUCACAGAAAGAAGCUAAUUACGCAGCUAAAGUCACAGAAAGAAGCUAAUUACGCAGCUAAAGUCACAGAAAGAAGCUAAUUACGCAGCUAAAGUCACAGAAAGAAGCUAAUUACGCAGCUAAAGUCACAGAAAGAAGCUAAUUACGCAGCUAAAGUCACAGAAAGAAGCUAGCUACGCAACUAAAGUCACAGAAAGAAGCUAAUUACGCAGCUAAAGUCACAGAAAGAAGCUAAUUACGCAGCUAAAGUCACAGAAAGAAGCUAAUUACGCAGCUAAAGUCACAGAAAGAAGCUAGCUACACAGCUAAAGUCACAGAAAGAAGCUAAUUGCGCAGCUAAAGUCACAGAAAGAAGCUAAUUGCGCAGCUAAAGUCACAGAAAGAAGCUAAUUACACAGCUAAGGUCACAGAAAGAAGCUAAUUACGCAGCUAAGGUCACAGAAAGAAGCUAAUUACGCUGCUAAAGUCACAGAAAGAAGCUAAUUACGCAGCUAAAGUCACAGAAAGAAGCUAAUUACGCUGCUAAAGUCACAGAAAGAAGCUAAUUACGCAGCUAAAGUCACAGAAAGAAGCUAAUUACGCAGCUAAAGUCACAGAAAGAAGCUAAUUACGCUGCUAAAGUCACAGAAGGAAGCUAGCUACGCAGCUAAAGUCACAGAAAGAAGCUAAUUGCGCAGCUAAAGUCACAGAAAGAAGCUAAUUACACAGCUAAGGUCACAGAAAGAAGCUAAUUACGCAGCUAAGGUCACAGAAAGAAGCUAAUUACGCUGCUAAAGUCACAGAAAGAAGCUAACUACACAGCUAAAGUCACAGAAAGAAGCUAAUUACGCAGCUAAAGUCACAGAAAGAAGCUAAUUACGCUGCUAGAGUCACAGAAAGAAACUAGCUACACAGCUAAAGUCAUAGAUAUGUAUUAUUAUUGUAUUUUUGGUGAAUAAAGUCGUUUUCAAACAGAGCCGGACCUCAUGUUUAAAGUUUCCACAUUGACGCCAUCAGUAAAGAUGAUUUUUGCCAAACAAACUGCCACCACUGCAGAUAGCAAAAGUAUUUUCAAAGGUACAAAUUCUUUGUUUUCUGCUGCUCAGAAUUUGGCCUCUGUGUGACACAAAACAAUAAAAUCUCCCUUCGACCUCAAACGUUGCAUCAGGAGACCUUCUAAGAUGGAGACAGAUAAACCGAUUUAGAUCUGGUGAAAGUUUUCAGCUUAAAAUCUCUAAAGCACUUUGUUAAAUGUCCGUUCCAGGAUGCUAAUUUCAGACUGAAAACAUGUAAUUCAUGUAAAAAUGCAUUUUUUUUAGCACAGAAAGCUGCAUUAAUGUCAUUCUUUACUAAAGUGUGAGUUUUGGGACGGUUUUUCUUCUUCCUCUUCAUCGUCAGUCAGCCUCAGAAGGUGGAGAGGACGGAGGAGCCCGACGUCUUCUCUCCACCCACCAGGUCCAGUCAACAACCUGCAUGUUUGCACUGUAACUACGACUGACGGGGACUUUAGUAAAAAACAAACCUUUAACGUCUUCCUGCAGCUGUUUGAGCCUAACUUUACUGUAAAAGCUCUCAGAACCUUUAAUUAGUGGCUUCAGCUGAAACUGGUGAAAUACAAAAGUAGACUUUUUGGUGGAAGUAUUUGGACAGAAAAGGAUAUUUUGUGUGGAAUAAACCUUUUAAAACCGUAAAUAUUUGACCAAAAGUAGUAUUUAGGGUGGAAUAAACAUUUAGAGCUAAAUGUUUGGAUUCAAAGUAGUUUUUAAGGUUUAUUUUGCCCAAAAUACUAAAUAUUGGAGUGGAAAGUGGUAUUUUAGGUCAAACAACACUUUAAAAAUUAAGUAUUUGAUAUGAAUAAACUCUUAAAACUGUAAAUAUUUGGACCAAAAAGUGUAUUUUAGAUGAACUAAAGCUUAAACUGUCCACAGUGGAACAGAAAGAAACACUUUGUGUGGACAUACCUUUAAUAACUACAAAUGUUUGGACAGGAAGUAGUGUUUUAGGUGUAAUAAACCUGAAACAUUUCAGUCAAAAGUAGCGUUUUGAAGGGGAAUAAACAUUUAAACUGAAACGUAUGUGGACAGAAAAAUGUUUGUUGGAUGGACAAGGACUUUCCAACUGCAAGUAUUUGAACAGAAAAUAGUAUUUUAGUUUGUGAUACACAUUUAAAACUGCAAAUAUUUGAUCAUAAAGUAGUAUUUUCCAUGUGAUAAACCUUUAAAACUGCAAGAAUUUGGGCAUAAAGUAGCGUUUCAGGCGGAGUAAACCAUGAAAACGACAAAUAUUUGGACAGGAAGUAGUAUUUUGGGCAGAAUAAACCUUCAAAUCUACAAAUUUCUGAACAGGAAGUAAUAUUUUGGGUGUGAUAAAUCUUUAAAACUACAAUUUUUGCGGCAUCAAGUAGUAGUUUGGGUGGACUACAUCUUUCCAAUUGUGAAGUUUUUAGACAGGAAGUAGUAUUUUGGGUGGAGUAAACCUGGAAAACAACAAAUAUUUGGACAGGAAGUAGUAUUUUGGGCAGAAUAAACCUUCAAAUCUACAAAUUUCUGAACAGGAAGUAAUAUUUUGGGUGUGAUAAAUCUUUAAAACUACAAUUUUUGCGGCAUCAAGUAGUAGUUUGGGUGGACUACAUCUUUCCAGUUGUGAAGUUUUUAGACAGGAAGUAGUAUUUUGGGCGGAGUAAACCUGGAAAACGACAAAUAUUUGGACAGGAAGUAGUAUUUUGGGUGGAGUAAACCUUUAAAACUACCGAUGUGGUUGAUGAGACGCUUGUUUCCCCGGUAACAGGCAGCAGGGGGCGCUGCUGCAGAGCGGGGUUAAAGCGUAGGACGGUAAACGGAGCGAAGGACUGAACGGCCGUCCACAUUAAGGAACGUUUCUGAGCCUCUCUUCUAAUCCUGGAGUUGGUUUUGUGCUUCUUAACGUGAAUGGAUCUGAAAGUGUAAAAGUUUGUGGAUCUUCAGGUGAGACUGGAGGACCUGCUUUACCUGCAGACGCCUGUAGAUGGAGACUAACCGGCAGUGGUGCUCAGAUAACAGCAUGAGCUCCUGGACUGAUCAAAGAUCUCCUCGUUAAGCCAACCGUCUGUUUCUGCUUCUUCUUCUGCAGCUCUGGAGGUCAGACGCCUCGCAGGGAUCUGGAGAAACAGCUGACCGGAGAGGAAAAAGCUCUGCGGCCCGGUGAUCCGGGUUUCUGUGCUCGAGCUCGGGUCCCGAUGCCCUCCAACAAGGACUACGUGGUCCGACCCAAGUGGAACGUGGAGGGAGACUCCAGCCGG